GAGUCUAACGUGCGUGCAAGUCAGAGGGUUUUCUCCAAACACACCCCGUGGCGCAAUGAAAGUGAGGAACGGUGCACGCCAGCUGAGGUGGGAUCACUGCCCUAUUGGGCCGGGAGCACCACCGGCUCGUCUUGCCGCUCUGUCGGGAGGUGGAGCGUGAGCGCGUGCGAUAGCACCCGAAAUAUGGUGAACUAUGUCUGGGCAGGGCGAAGCCAGAGGAAACUCUGGUGGAGGUCCGUAGCGGUCCUGACGUGCAAAUCGGUCGUCCGACCUGGGUAUAGGGGCGAAAGACUAAUCGAACCAUCUGGUAGCUAGUUCCCUCCGAAGUUUCCCUCAGGAUAACUGGCGCUCAAAGUCUCGCAGUCUUAUCUGGUAAAGCGAAUGAUUAGAGGUCUUGGGGCCGAAACGAUCUCAACCUAUUCUCAAACUUUUUAUAUUUUUAAAUUUCACCUUUAUUUAACCAGGUAGGCCAGUUGAGACAAGCUCUCAUUUACAACUGCGACCUGGCCAAGAUAAAGCAAAGCAGUGCGACAAAAACAACUACACAGAGUUACACAUAAACAAACGUACAAUCAAUAACACAAUAGAAAAAUCAAUGUACAGUGUGUGCAAAUGUAGAAGAGUAGGGAGGUAAGGCAAUAAAUAGGCCACAGAGGCGAAAUAAUUACAAUUUAGCAUUAACACUGGAGUGAUAGAUGUGCAGAUGAUGAUGUGCAAGUAGAGAUACUUGGGGUGCAACUGAGCUAGAGGAUAAAUAACAAUAUGGGGAUGAGGUAGUUGGGUGUGCUAUUUACAGAUGGGCUGUGUACAGGUACUGACAGCUGAUGCUUAAAGUUAGAGAGGGGGAUAUAAGACCUCAGCUUCAGUGAUUUUUGCAAUUCGUUCCAGUCAUUGGCAGCAGAGAACUGGAAGGAAAGGCGGCCAAAGGAAGUGUUGGCUUUGGGGAUGACCAGUGAAAUAUACCUGCUGGAGUGUGUGCUAUGGGUGGGUGUGACCAGUGAGCUGAGAUAAGGCAGGGCUAUACCUAGCAAAGACUUAUAGAUGACCUGUAGCCAGUGGGUUUGGCGACGAAUAUGUGGUGAGGGCAAGCCAACCAGAGCAUACAGGUUGCAGGGGUGGGUAGUAUAUGGGUUUUGCUGACAAAAUGGAUGGCACUGUGAUAGACUACAUCCAGUUUGCUGAGUAGAGUGUUGGAGGCUAUUUUGUAAAUGACAUCGCCGAAGUCAAGGAUCGGUAGGAUAGUCAGUUUUACAAGGGUAUGUUUUGCAGCAUGAGUGAAGGAGGCUUUGUUGCAAAAUAGGAAGCCGAUUCUAGAUUUAAUUGUGGAUUGGAGAUGCUUAAUGUGAGUCUGGAAGGAGAGUUUACAGUCUAACCAGACACCUAGGUAUUUGUAGUUGUCCACAUAUUCUAAGUCAGAACCGUCCAGAGUAGUGAUGCUAGUCGGGCGGACGGGUGCGGGCAGCAAAUCGGUUGAAGAGCAUGUAUUUAGUUUUACUAGCAUUUAAAAGCAGUUGGAGGCCACGGAAGGUUUGUUGUAUGGCACCAGCAGCAAGAGCGACAUCAUUGAUAUAUACAGAGAAAAAAGUCAGCCCAAGAAUUGAACCCUGUGGCACCCCCAUAGAGACUUCUAGAGGUCCAUACAACAGGCCCUCCAAAUUGACACACUGAACUCUGUCUGAGAAGUAGUUGGUGAACCAGGCGAGGCAGUCAUUUGAGAAGCCAAGGCUAUUGAGUCUGCUGCUAAGAAUGCGGUGAUUGACAGAGUUGAAAGCCUUGGCCAGGUCAAUGAAGAUGGCUGCACAGUACUGUCUUUUAUCGAUGGCGGUUAUGAUAUCGUUUAGGACCUUGAGCGUGGCUGAGAUGCACCCAUGACCAGCUCGGAAACCAGAUUGCAUAGUGGAGAAGGUACGGUGGGAUUCGAAAUGGUCGGUGAUCUGUUUGUUAAAUUGGCUUUUGAAGAUUUUAGAAAGGCAAGGCAGGAUGAAUAUAGGUCUAUAACAGUUUGGGUCUAGAGUGUCUCCCCCUGUGAAGAUGGGGAUGACCACGGCAGCUUUCCAAUCUUUGGGGAUCUCAAACGAUACGAAAGAGACGUUGAACAGGCUAGUAAUAGGGGUUGCAACAAUUUCGGCAGAUCAUUUUAGAAAGAGAGGGUCCAGAUUGUCUAGCCCAGCUGAUUUGUCGGGAUCCAGAUUUUGCAGCUCUUUCAAAACAUCAGCUGUCUGGAUUUGGGUGAAGGAGAAGUGGGGGGGGGGGGGCUUGGGCAAGUUGCUGCAGGGGGUGCUGAGCUGUUGGCUGGGGUAGGGGUAGCCAGGUGGAAAGCAUGGCCAACCGUAGAAAAAUGCUUAUUGAAAUGAUCGAUUAUCGUAGAUUUAUUGGUGGUGACAGUGUUUCCUAGCCUCAGUGCUCUUAUUCUCCAUGGACUUUACAGUGUCCCAAAUUUUUGGGGAAUUAGUGCUACAGGAUGCAAAUUUCUGUUUGAAAAAGCUAGCCUUAGCUUUCCUAACUGAGUAUAUUGGUUCCUGACUUCCCUGAAAGUUGCAUAUCACGGGGGCUAUUCGAUGCUAAUGCAGAACGCCACAGGAUGUUUUUGUGCUGGUCAAGGGCAGUCAAGUCUAGGGUGAACCAAGGCUAUAUCUGUUCUUAGUUCUACAAACUUCAAAUGGGUAAGAAGCCCGGCUUGGAGCCGGGCGUGGAAUGCGAGUUGCCUAGUGGGCCACAUUUGGUAAGCAAAACUGGCGUGGCGGGAUGAACUGAACGCCGGGUAAAGGCGCCUGAUGCCGACGCUCAUUAGACCCUAGAAAAGGUUGAUAUAAACAGCAGGACGGUGGCCAUGGAAGUCGGAAUCCGCUAAGGAGUGUGUAACAACUCACCUGCCGAAUCAACUAGCCCUGAAAAUGGAUAAAUAUUCAAACGAGAACUUUGAAGGCCGAAGUGGAGAAGGGUUCCAUGUGAACAGCAGUCGAACAUGGGUCAGUCGGUCCUAAGAGAUGUAUGCUCUCUGGGCGAACGCCGUUCGGAAGGGAGGGGCGAUGGCCUCGAAAGAGAUUCAGGUUCAGAUCCCCAAAUCCGGAGUGGCGGAGAUGGACGCUGCGAGUCGAACGGUAACGCGACCCUUUCCCAGAGAAGCUGGUGGGAAUCCCGGGGAGAGUUCUCUUUUCUUUGUCAAGGACAGGGCGCCCUGGAAUGGGUUCCGAGAGAGGGGCCCAAUCCCUGGAAAGAGUUGCGGUUACGGCGGCGUCCGGUGAGCUCUCGCUGGCCCUUGAAAAUCUGGGGGAUAGGGUGUAAAUCUCGCGCCGGGCCGUACCCACAUCAGGUCUCGAUUUAUAAGUCCAGGAU
Salmo salar (Atlantic salmon) is the source of this 3336-nucleotide non-coding RNA. The record is from Rfam. NCBI's taxonomy places the organism in Eukaryota, Metazoa, Chordata, Actinopteri, Salmoniformes, Salmonidae.